Toxorhynchites rutilus septentrionalis is the source of this 1947-nucleotide long non-coding RNA. RefSeq lists it as uncharacterized. The record is from RefSeq and is a predicted model, not a curated record. The transcript has 4 exons. Lineage: Eukaryota; Metazoa; Arthropoda; Insecta; Diptera; Culicidae.
AAAAAUACAAUCGUGUAUUUGCCGAAUUGAGCCGGCAAACCCACAUUGCAAUGAUGGUUCUGAUGGAGAUGGGCCGAGAUCUAGCCAACUUCAGCAUUCCUGGCAAAUUCUGCACAUGCAAUAGUUUUAGAAGAGAAUGGUGUGAAUUGGGUAUCAUUGCAUCGAAAUUGGGAAAAUUUUGGAUUGACUAUUACUCCGGUAAUUCCUCAGUGAUCUCAUCCGCAUGUGGCAGUACCUCUCCGAUCCCCGGAAGACAGAUACAGUGUUGCUACCAGCUAAAGCUAACAGGCGCUCGUACAACCGAUGCAGCUUCUACUGCUGCUCCAGCCACAGAACUGUUCAAUUGUGAGGAUGAUGACAUGCCACCAGUGUAUCCUAUCAGAGAAUUGAUAGACGCAGAAAAUUGGAAGCGGUAACGAGGUUUGAGAGGUAAGUCGUGGAUCGCCUAUCUAUAUCCCGCCAGUUUCGAAACCACUUCAACGUCUACCUCUACUUCCGGGAGGAAUGUCUACUAAUAAUACAGUUUGGAGGAAAUAAUAUUGUGGAUUCUAACUUAAAGGUACAGACUGGACAGACUAGCAAUCCGGUAUCUAUAACAUUAGCACCACCAAUACAAGCACAAAUUUGCUGUACUAUUGUGGGGCCGAUUUAACUUCAGCUUAUACAAUUAUCGGAAACAAUUACCCAAUGAACAAAUAGAGGAAAGAAGGGCGAGUAAAUGAAUUUACUGAGUGACAGAUGCUCUGAACUAUUCCCACGCAAAGUCAUUCAUCGCGUCCUGAGACCGGAUAACAUUCUAUUGACGGACAAUAAAAUCGUGAAAUUGUCGAUUUGAGGUGGUUCGCUCUUUCACUAAUCGCAAAAAAUGAAUGUGCUGGGCUACAUGCCACCGGAGAUGGCCGUUGGGGGGAUAUACAAUGACUCCGUGAAUCAGUCACUGAGCUAUUUUGGAAGGAAACAUUUCGACAUUCGUAUAAAAUAUCAUAAUUUGCCUUCACCGGAGUUCCUUCCAGCUGUGGACGCCGAGUGUGGAUGUCGUCGUUUGCACAUCGUUUACAAAGUGUAACUUGGAUUCUGAUUCUUCCUGCGGCACGGACUAAUGUAAAGCAGGAGCGGGACUAAUAAAUCCUGUCCCCUAUAUAUGGAACGAAGCUCUGUCCACCACAUAUUUUUGUUCAACAACACGAGGUUCUAGAGCCUAUCGUGCGAGAACAUGUAAAGCUGAGUUUGUUAUAGCUAUAUGUUGCCAUACACUUUAUGGAACUGAUGCUGAUGGCUAUGGAGGAGAAAUAUGUCAUUACUGGAAGGCGAAGGUUUGCUGACCAAUGGACCGACCAUUGAAGGACAACCAAGUAUCGUGUAUUCUAUGUAUCUAGGGUUUCAUCGGUUUUCCACCGCUCGAAUCAGAACAAUAGAUUAUAAUUGAGCCGCUGUUUAGAUGGAAAAGAGUAGAGAUAUACCAUUUUGAAAAUUAACAUGUUGAUUUAUUUCAGUAUUUGGAGCGACAUCAUCGACAUCAGAGUGCACCCGUGGCCGAGUGGUUAGCGUCUCACAUUGUCAUGCCGGGUGUUCGGGUUCGAUUCCCGUUCUGGCCGGAGGAUUUUUCGUCAAAGAAAUUUCCUUCGACUUGCACUGUGGUCACGCGUAUUCAAGAGCUUGUCCCUCGGAAUACAUUCAAGGCGUGUUAUUUGGCUUAAGAAAUCUCAACUAAGUAUUAAUAAAUGACGCUAAUUAAUGCAUACGUUGAGACGGCAAAAGUUCCACAGGGAACGUUAACGCCAUUCAAGAAGAAGAAGAAGCGACAUCUGAAUAAUUAUACUUACAAAUAAAUACAUCGAUCGUGAAAAAACUGAAUAAACAAUGUUUAUCAAAGUUAUAUUUUUACUACUUUUGUUCUAUACUUUUUUUAAUUAUCUUUUUUAUAAAUAAAUUUAUAAAAUAAAUUUU